This 295-nucleotide unclassified non-coding RNA is filed under the name Hevea brasiliensis (rubber tree). The record is from RNAcentral. Lineage: Eukaryota; Viridiplantae; Streptophyta; Magnoliopsida; Malpighiales; Euphorbiaceae.
GGAAGAAGGGAAAGAGAAGAAAGGAAAGGAAAAGAAGUAAGAAAGAAGGAGAAGAAGAAGGGAGGAAGGAAGGGAAGAUUGCCGGAGUUUUUGGGGUUUCUCUAACAAGAUAGAACACCGGCAAAGGGAAACGAGAGAGCGACCUGAAAUACAAGAAAUUAAAAAGAUAAAUGGAGAAAAGAGAUUAGGAGCUAGCAGGAUUUCAGCAAGGGCAGUAACUUUUUCAUCCUUCCAAGAGAAGAUUUUGAGAAUGUGCUUUUAAUUGGAUGAAAAGGUGACAUUUGUGAGUUCGAAU